This 491-nucleotide ribosomal RNA is filed under the name uncultured bacterium. Its description in RNAcentral is "partial 16S ribosomal RNA". It matches the Rfam family "Bacterial small subunit ribosomal RNA", at positions 28 to 507 of the family's 1533-position model. The record is from RNAcentral.
GAUGAACGCUGGCUACAGGCUUAACACAUGCAAGUCGAGGGGAAACGACGGGGAAGCUUGCUUCUCCGGGCGUCGACCGGCGCACGGGUGAGUAACGCGUAUCCAACCUGCCUCUGACUGAGGGAUAACCCGUCGAAAGUCGGCCUAAUACCUCAUGGUAUCGUCUGCGGGCAUCCAACGACGAUUAAAGAUUUCAUCGGUCAGGGAUGGGGAUGCGUCUGAUUAGCUUGUUGGCGGGGUAACGGCCCACCAAGGCUACGAUGAGGAGGUGUUCUGAGAGGAAGGUACCCCACAUUGGAAAUGAGACACGGUCCAAACUGCUACGGGAGGCAGGAGUGAGGAAUAUUAGUCAAUGGACGAGAGCCUGAACCAGCCAAGUAGCGUGCAGGAAGACGGCGCUAUGGGUUGUAAACUGCUUUUAUGCGAGGAAAAAGUGAGGGACGUGGCCCUCAUUGCAGGUACCGAAUGAAUAAGGACCGGCUAAUUCCGUG